UACGGAGGGUGCAAGCGUUGCUCGGAAUUAUUGGGCGUAAAGGGUAGGUAGGUGGUCUCGUUUGUCUGGGGUGAAAGCCUUGAGCUUAACUCAAGAAGUGCCUUAGAAACGGCGAGACUAGAGUCUUGGAGAGGGUCGUGGAAUUCCCGGUGUAGCGGUGAAAUGCGUAGAGAUCGGGAGGAACACCAGAGGCGAAGGCGGCGACCUGGACAAGUACUGACGCUCAGGCACGAAAGCGUGGGGAGCAAACAGG
RNAcentral lists this ribosomal RNA (253 nucleotides) under uncultured prokaryote. Its description in RNAcentral is "partial 16S ribosomal RNA". It matches the Rfam family "Bacterial small subunit ribosomal RNA", at positions 524 to 776 of the family's 1533-position model. The record is from RNAcentral.